This 94-nucleotide small nucleolar RNA is filed under the name Genlisea aurea. Lineage: Eukaryota; Viridiplantae; Streptophyta; Magnoliopsida; Lamiales; Lentibulariaceae. The record is from RNAcentral.
UUGUGGCUGUGAUGAUUGUUCAACCAGCUUAAUUAGCCAGUUCUGCUUCAGAAAAUUCUUGAUCGAGAUAGCUGUCCAAAACACCGAGCCCUUA